UACGUAGGGUGCAAGCGUUGUCCGGAAUUACUGGGCGUAAAGCGUGCGUAGGCGGUUUGUUAAGACAGGUGUGAAAUCCCCGGGCUUAACCUGGGAACUGCGCUUGUUACUGGCAGACUGGAGUGUGGCAGAGGGGGGUGGAAUUCCAGGUGUAGCAGUGAAAUGCGUAGAUAUCUGGAGGAACACCGAUGGCGAAGGCAGCCCCCUGGGCUAACACUGACGCUGAUGCACGAAAGCGUGGGGAGCAAACAGG
This 253-nucleotide ribosomal RNA is filed under the name uncultured bacterium. Its description in RNAcentral is "partial 16S ribosomal RNA". It matches the Rfam family "Bacterial small subunit ribosomal RNA", at positions 524 to 776 of the family's 1533-position model. The record is from RNAcentral.